AAAGGAAGCAUAUAAAAAUGAUGGAGGGCAACUUUUUGCUUAGGCAGAUAAUGGCAGGACAAGGGGGAAUGGUUUUAAACUAAAA
Molecule: long non-coding RNA, 85 nt
Organism: Oxyura jamaicensis (ruddy duck)
Lineage: Eukaryota; Metazoa; Chordata; Aves; Anseriformes; Anatidae
Exons: 3
Source: RefSeq, a predicted model, not a curated record